CCUACGGGUGGCAGCAGUGGGGAAUAUUGGGCAAUGGGCGCAAGCCUGACCCAGCAACGCCGCGUGAAGGAAGAAGGCUUUCGGGUUGUAAACUUCUUUUAAGAGGGACGAUCAGAAGACUGUACCUCUUGAAUAAGCCACGGAUAACUACGUGCCAGCAGCCGCGGUAAUACGUAGGUGGCAAGCGUUGUUCGGAUUUACUGGGUGUAAAGGGCGUGCAGCCGGGAAGACAAGUCAGAUGUGAAAUCCCGCGGCUCAACCGCGGAACUGCAUUUGAAACUGGUUUUCUUGAGUACCGGAGAGGGCAGCGGAAUUCCUGGGGUAGCGGUGAAAUGCGUAGAGAUAAGGAAGAACACCAGUGGCGAAGGCGGAUGACUGGACGGCAACUGAAGGUGAGGCGCGAAAGCGUGGGGAGCAAACAGGAUUAGAUACCCGGGUAGUC
This 442-nucleotide ribosomal RNA is filed under the name uncultured bacterium. RNAcentral's name for it is "partial 16S ribosomal RNA". It matches the Rfam family "Bacterial small subunit ribosomal RNA", at positions 338 to 795 of the family's 1533-position model. The record is from RNAcentral.